CCUGUUGCCGAGGUAAUUGCCUUCCCUCGUUUCAUUACUUUUAUCGCACAAGUGGAGUACUCCUAGUUGAGUACUUUGGGUGAGUUGGGCAUUUGGGUUCGAGUUUAAGUUUCGAGUUAUGCUUGCAGGUAGUUCUAAAUGCAAUAAUUCAUGGUAAAAAUGUAGGGGGUGAUCACAAAAACAAAUGCGGAGAAGACCCUUGAAGAGCUGCGCGCCUACCAAGC
Molecule: unclassified non-coding RNA, 224 nt
Filed under: Hevea brasiliensis (rubber tree)
Lineage: Eukaryota; Viridiplantae; Streptophyta; Magnoliopsida; Malpighiales; Euphorbiaceae
Source: RNAcentral